CUAUGAAAUUUUAUUUAUAAAAAAGUGGCAUCUACUCACAUAUGUCCCACCGAUUAGCCAAAGUGCUAGAUUGAUCUAGUAGAGACGAAACUUAUGAGAUCGUAGGUAUAUUUAGUUUGAAGAUAUCGGCAUUGAAAGGUGAGGUCAUGUUGUAUUACAUUAUAGGAUCUGUAAGUUGUAUGAUUUGUGCACGAGGUGCUACCCAAAAUUUUUCGAAAUUUGAAAGUUGCGCUCAAACCAGAGGUAGUAUUUCAAUGUGCCGCUAGACACCGUCUCUAGUCUAUCAAUCCGCGUUUGUUUACAUUGUGCGUUUUUGUGAUGUUAUGUUUGUGUUGUUUCACGAUGGUUAAAAAGAUUGACUUGAAAGAACAGAGUUUGUGUCAAAUUCUGUUUUGGCAAGACAGCUUUGGAAACUCAUCAAACAUUAAAACGAGCUUUUCGUGAGGAGACUAUGGAUCAAAACAAACAGACGAGUGGUUUAAGCGUUUCAAAAAACGGCAGACAUCCGCUGGAGACGAUUUCUGGCAUCAACACCAACGACGAAAAUGUUGCCAAAAUUCGCCAAAAAAUUCACGAAGUCCGUCAUCAAGCAUGAUUAUUUCGAAAGAGAUGAAAGCUAUUAAUUUUUUACGCACCCGCAAAGCCGUAUACCUCCAACACUCUGAUCUCAAAGUCACCACUAGGACAGAGGGGUGGAUUAUUAAAUGUCGAACAUCGAUCUGUCUUGCCGAAUCUUAUGUUUUCAUCCAUCCAGAUCGCCUGACCAUCUCUGAGAAUUAGAAACAAGAUGGAUCAAAAUGCUUACCCGCCACCGAUAGUUAUCAUUCUCGAAUCCGCGGCCAUAAAUAGUUCAGCCGAAUGAUGUACUCUGGAGUCAUUGUGCGAUGAAUCCAUGCCCACCCAAGGAUAUUUAGCUCGCUCAGGAUAUAAGCUGAACAGGAAUGUCUCGCCAGUACCAAAAUACGCUUGUCUGUGGCCUUUGUCAUCCUUCAAAUUACGCUCGCACCAUCUUGUCGAACAGUUUUUAUCAUCAGAAGAGUCGGCUCGUGUUGCUCAACUCGCACAUAGAACGUCGUUAACGAGCAUCCAUGUUCCUCGGUCGUGUACAACAAAAUAGGCUGAUACAUCGUGAUUCUCAUCGGUAGCCACGACCAUAAGAGUGCCGGCCAGAGUUGCGCCCUGAUGCCGUUGUUGAGCGGCCAACCGUUCUCCCGUAUUAUCAGCUUUACUUCCCGUUUUCUUGGCGGAUCGGCUUGUAGCAGUGCGUUAACCUCGGCAAAGGUCUUCAAGGUUUGCUU
Molecule: long non-coding RNA, 1298 nt
Organism: Cataglyphis hispanica
Lineage: Eukaryota; Metazoa; Arthropoda; Insecta; Hymenoptera; Formicidae
Exons: 5
Source: RefSeq, a predicted model, not a curated record